Molecule: long non-coding RNA, 4318 nt
Filed under: Homo sapiens (human)
Lineage: Eukaryota; Metazoa; Chordata; Mammalia; Primates; Hominidae
Description: non-protein coding lnc-IRF8-1:3
Source: RNAcentral
GGCCCCAGGGCACACCUGAUCUCAGGCUUUCUCUUCAAGCACACCGUUCAUUAAUCUGUUAAAAGGCCUAGCUCAUGUGUGAAGAUAGAAGCUUCCUCCAGUGAAGCAGCAGCCCCGGCACUGGGCCUGCAGUGGAGACCGGGAAUGAGAGAAGCCCCUGGCGUGGGCUGGCAAGGACGCAGAGCACGGAGAGCACCUGGGGCAGGGCCGGCGCCAACGGCAUAACACAUGCUGCUGCUCCUCUCCCGCGGGGCCCAUGGAGAUGGCUGGAAGCAGCCCAACGUCAGGGCAGAUCCCUACCUUCACACUCACAUAAGAGAAGAGUGAAGUUUCGGGGACUCCACACCUCAAGGUAGUUCCACCGUGCGAGGUGCUGCGCUCACAGUAUUACUCAUGCACCUUUCUGAUAAGAAAAGUGAAAAUGUGAAGUUGAAAACUGAAGACGCCCAGCAACUUCCUGAAUCCAGCCCUCCACGUCCUGCCCUACGGGACGGACGACUCCCAAAGAGGAAUCGUUGGUGGAAGUCCCAUGUUUCGUUGCCGUUGGAAGGGGGAACUGGUCAAGGGCUCAUCUCUGGACCCACACCCCAUAACCAACAUGGAAGCCUGGAUUUGGCCCUGGAUCAGGCUGGCUCCCCAGGGAAGGGUCCAGUCUCUCCGGGGAGACAUCCCGACUUCGGGUCCUGCUUUCUCUACUGUAAUUCGAGGCUGGCCAUGCCCCUCAGUGGGCCUCAGUUUCCUCACCUGUACAGUGGGGAAAUCCAUAGGACCUACCUCCUGGGAGGGCACUGAGGACCGAGGGAAUGAAUGCCUGUCCAGUGCUCAUGAUCGUGACAAGCACUGCGCAGAAUAAAUCCGGAAUAAACGCUCACCGGGUGAGGGAGGGCAGGGAAGAUUUCUAAAAUCCCCCUGAUUUGAGAUGAGAUCUGAUUCACCCACUUAAAAAACCACAUUGGGAAAUAAUUUGAAAUGUACAGGAAAGUUGUAAGAAUCGCACAAAGAAUACUCCCAAACGUUUUGCCCAUACUCACCUGUUUUCUGUGGCAACUUUGAGACAGAAUUCACACGCCAUACAGUUGACCCAUCUCAACUGUACAAUUCAAUGGCCUUUCAUAGUCAGAGUUGUGCAACUGUCACCAGGGUCAAUUUUAGAACGUUUUCAUCACUCUCCUCUCACAAAAAACCCCUCACGUCCCUUGGCUGUCACUCUGCACCUAUUAAUAUUUUUUUGUGUUAAGACUUUUUCUUUGAGAUGGAGUCUCAGUCUGUUGCCCAGGCUGGAGUGCAGUGGCGUACAUCUCGGCUCACAGUAACCUCCACCUCCUGGGUUCAAGCGAUUCUCCUGCCUCAGCCUCCUGAGUAGCUGGGAUUACGGGUGCCCGCCUCCACGCCCGGCUAGUUUUUGUAUUUUUAGUAGAGACAGGGUUUCACCAUGUUGGUCAGGCUGGUCUCGAACUCCUGACCUCGUGAUCCACCUGCCUUGGCCCCACAAAGUGCUAGGAUUACAGGUGUGAAACACUAUGCCCGGUAAAUGUUAAGACUUUUAUGCAUCUUCUUGACCUGUGGUCUUCAGCAUUUGAGUCUUAGGGGACCUUUAAAAUAUUAAGAUAGGCCAGGCACAGUGGCUCAUGCCUGAAAUCCCAGAACUUUAGGAGGCUGUGGUGAGACGAUUGCUUGAAGCCAGGAGUUUGGGACGAGCCUGGGCAUCAUAGUGAGACCCCCAUCUUGGCAAAAAAGUAAACAUAAAAAAUAUUAGCUGGGCAUAGUGGCGAGCAUCUGUAGUUCUAGCUAAUUGGGAGGCUGAGGUGGCAGGAUCCCUUGAGCCCAAGAGUUCAAGAGUAUAGUGAGCUAUGAUUGUGCCACUGCACUCCAGCCUGGGCAAUAGAGUGAGACCCUGUUUCUAAAAAACAAAAGCCAUACUAAAAUACUCUGCAAAGACCUCAUAUUCAUUUAUUCACUCAACAAAUGUUUGUUGAGCACCUGUUUUAUGCCAAGUCCAAUACUAGGAGCUCUGGUUGCAACAGAGAGCAAAACAGACACGGCCCUGCCAGUCACCUGGGGCAGGGAAUCCCCCUGCCCCACUCCCUGCAAUAAUCGAUUGUAGAGAAGAAUUAGCAAAUCACAGCUGAGAAGGGUCUGCUGGAAAACACAGCAGAGGCCUUGACUUUGCCUGAUGAAUGGAGGUGGGCUUCCUGGCAGAGGGGCGUCUGUGGGUGAGGGAGGAAGUAGGACUGGCUGGUCAGAGGGGACGGCACACAGGAAGCUGCUGAGCAGGCAGGAGUGUGCUCCGUGGAGGAGCUAGGAGGAGGCCAGUUCUUAGCUGGAGGGUGGAGAAGGAGGGCUAAAGCCAAGCAUGCAGAGGCCGAGGGAUGUGCAGCGCCGGUCAGCCCACGUGAGAUCUUUCCUCCCUCUCCGUGGACUGGGAACCUCCAUAGUUACCACAUGCUGCGCUGACUUCUCUAACACGCUUUGGCCAAUGAUGUUUCCCUAAUCACAGCAGCUCCUCAUUUAGAAUGUGUUCUUAUUUAGGAUGCGUUCGAGUCUCUGUGAUCUGAACUCCACAUGAGGACUCCCUGGGUCCCUCAGGAACCCAUGUCCUACCAGUUAGACUCCCUUGUUUUAGACCCCUUAUUUCAGCAUUUUAUAAACUCUGUCCCGUAGGAUACUGACCCAUUUGCAACUUAGCCAAAAAAAUGAAAGUUAUGUAGCCAAACAAGCUUUGAAAAUACCCCAUUUCUUUCUGGACGUUUCACAAUGCACAGGAGCAUAUUAAAGGCUCUGAUAAGUCCUGCAGCAAAGAACCAAGUGCUUCCCAAAUGCAGUAGUUCAGGGAACCUCUUUGUUCCAUUACUCCCAUGAAGUUUACAAAACUAGUGCUAUGUGGAAAAUGCUUUGUAAAACACGGAUAAUUCUGCAAGUGAUCUGCCUGAGUGUGGAAUGCAGAUAUCCAGCCAGAGUCUGUAACUUCAGACAUGGUGUGGAAGGCCAAUGUGAAAAGCAGGAAUAGUAGAAUGGUUUUAAAAGGGUUCCCUCUAAUUACUCUUGAGUAGGAAAGUAGGAGCCGCCGACACCUGGGAACUGUCCUGGAGCCCCUGGCCGGGCUGGGCCAUUCUCCGGUUUGACAUAAACCAUCUCCCAGAACACCAGCUGCACAGAAGGUCACUCUGAGAUCACAGUAGUGAGACAAAGACAGGUCACGGUGUCACCCACAAACACCAAUUAUCCCCCUUUCCCCACUAAAAUGAAGAAUGGCUGUUUCUUGACCAAUCUCAGCUUUAUGCUGGUGCCCGUCUCCCCUCUCUAGAGGUGACAGUGAUUGAGGCACCCACUCAGAGAAUUGCCCCCUUUCUUUUGGCUUCUGGUCUACUGAGCCCCACUUCCCUAGACCUUCGCCUUCCCACUACCCACCCAAACCCCAAAUCCUACAGGGGCUCUUCCCAGCACCCUCUCACCCCGAAGUUCCUAUGGGGAGCGUCCACCCUCAUUGCAAGGUGGAAGAAACCUGGCUCUUCAACCAAAGGCCCCCAGGGGAGCGUGGCUGGAGGGCACGACACUCUCAAAAAUAUAUAAUUCUCUGAACAAAAUAUACCUCUGUUCCUUUACAAAUGAAGCAUCUGUUGAAAGUGUGUGGAACUUAUUUUGCAAAGAUAUUCCUUGUGAUAAGGCUUGAUUCCAGGUAACUCUUUUCAAAGUGAGUCACAGACCAGGAAGUCGUAUGGAAUGAGUGAUGGAAAGAUGUAUUUUACACGUUGCCCCUCAAGUCCAAACUUGAACUCAUGUCUCUCUGAACCAGAGUGGAGCUUCCUUCCAUUGCAGCCCCAUAUAUGCUGUCAGGGAGCUAGGGGGCCUGGGAGGGUGGCCACCCUGCACACCGUGUGUUACUGGGUGAGGAUUUGCACGUUUGUGGCUGAGGGGAAGACGUUCACGUUGGAUAGUUGUAAUUUCCAAUCCAGGCCCCAACUCUCUAUAACUGAGUGACUGUGGGUGAGUUUCUCCACGUUCCUGAACCUCAAUUUUCUCAUCUAUGAAGUGGGGAUGCCACUACAAAUCAGGUAGCACCUACAAAUCAGGUUUAAGGAUUUGAGUAGAUAACAUAUGUAAAGUGUUUAGCCAGUACCCUGCCAGCAAAUGGUGACCACCACUGUCACUGUUGUCACUGGUAUUAUCUAGUGGUCAAGGUCAGCGCAUCAGCCUUUGGUCAGUGUUCUUUCUCGGUUAGAGGACUUUUUGACCCCGGGUGUCCAUGAGGGUCACCUGGGGAACCUAAAAACAAUGGACUCCUGGGCUGGCCCCAAGUUUAGGGAGGAACUGGUCCUGG